UAGGGAAUCUUCGGCAAUGGACGAAAGUCUGACCGAGCAACGCCGCGUGAGUGAAGAAGGUUUCGGAUCGUAAACUCUGUUGUUAAAGAAGAACACGUAUGAGAGUAACUGUUCAUACGUUGACGGUAUUUAACCAGAAAGUCACGGCUAACUACGUGCCAG
This 162-nucleotide ribosomal RNA is filed under the name uncultured bacterium. RNAcentral's name for it is "partial 16S rRNA". It matches the Rfam family "Bacterial small subunit ribosomal RNA", at positions 355 to 511 of the family's 1533-position model. The record is from RNAcentral.